GACGAACGCUGGCGGCGUGCUUAACACAUGCAAGUCGAACGGAAAGGCCCUGCUUUUGUGGGGUGCUCGAGUGGCGAACGGGUGAGUAACACGUGAGUAACCUGCCCUUGACUUUGGGAUAACUUCAGGAAACUGGGGCUAAUACCGGAUAGGAGCUCCUGCUGCAUGGUGGGGGUUGGAAAGUUUCGGCGGAUGGGGCUGGACUCGCGGCUUAUCGGCUUGUUGGUGGGGUAGUGGCUUACCAAGGCUUUGACGGGUAGCCGGCCUGAGAGGGUGACCGGCCACAUUGGGACUGAGAUACGGCCCAGACUCCUACGGGAGGCAGCAGUGGGGAAUAUUGCACAAUGGGCGGAAGCCUGAUGCAGCAACGCCGCGUGCGGGAUGACGGCCUUCGGGUGGUAAACCGCUUUCGCCUGUGACGAAGCGUGAGUGACGGUAAUGGGUAAAGAAGCACCGGCUAACUACGUG
This 468-nucleotide ribosomal RNA is filed under the name uncultured bacterium. RNAcentral's name for it is "partial 16S ribosomal RNA". It matches the Rfam family "Bacterial small subunit ribosomal RNA", at positions 28 to 507 of the family's 1533-position model. The record is from RNAcentral.